GCAUUGAUGGGGUAACGGUAACCUUGCUCAUUCCCAUUGUCAAUGAGUUGAGCAGCCCUGGGUUCGACUCCCAGUCAACGCA
Russula ochroleuca is the source of this 82-nucleotide non-coding RNA. Lineage: Eukaryota; Fungi; Basidiomycota; Agaricomycetes; Russulales; Russulaceae. The record is from the annotation of a GenBank genome assembly.